Molecule: long non-coding RNA, 352 nt
Organism: Oncorhynchus masou masou (cherry salmon)
Lineage: Eukaryota; Metazoa; Chordata; Actinopteri; Salmoniformes; Salmonidae
Exons: 3
Source: RefSeq, a predicted model, not a curated record
UGAGGUUCACAUCGAAGGUCGCAACGUCAACGAAAGCGAAUCUUAAACGAACCUAACCUAUAUGGAUAAAAAAUAUUGGACAAUAUGUAAACAUUGCUCGGAUCUUGUCCCCUGGAGCUUGGAGGACUUUUGGUGUGGAUGAUGUUCAGGGCCUACCAAAGCAAGGUUUCUCAAACAACUGUGGGGUGUUUGUUUUCAUGGUAAGAUGCUAUUCAGUAUAUUAUAUUUGUCCUAUUUUCUGUUAUAACAUAUGAAAAGUUAUUAUUUCUGUUCUUGCAGUAUGUAAAGCACACUAAUGUUAUUGCUCAUACUUUUUCUUCUUUAUUAUUCUUGACAGUUCUUGGGACCUGUU